GGGGAAUAUUGCGCAAUGGGCGAAAGCCUGACGCAGCGACGCCGCGUGGAGGAUGAAGGUCUUCGGAUUGUAAACUUCUGUUAAGUGGGAAGAAAAAUUUGCGUUUAAUACACGCAAGGAAUGACGGUACCAUUAGAGAAAGCACCGGCUAACUUCGUGCCAGCAGCCGCGGUAAUACGAAGGGUGCAAGCGUUAUUCGGAUUUAUUGGGCGUAAAGGGUGCGUAGACGGUAUAUUAAGUCUAUUGUUAAAUCUUCUGGCCUAACCAGAAAUCUGCAGUAGAUACUGAUGUGCUAGAGGGUGGAAGAGAGAAGUGGAAUUCUCGGAGUAGCGGUAAAAUGCGUAGAUCUCGAGAGGAACACCAAUGGCGAAGGCAGCUUCUUGGUCCACACCUGACGUUGAGGCACGAAAGCGUGGGGAGCAAAC
RNAcentral lists this ribosomal RNA (425 nucleotides) under uncultured bacterium. RNAcentral describes it as "bacterial SSU rRNA". It matches the Rfam family "Bacterial small subunit ribosomal RNA", at positions 356 to 773 of the family's 1533-position model. The record is from RNAcentral.